GCCAGUAUGGUGAUAUGACCCUCGGCUUGUAACCGAGUGGGUUCGGGUUCAAAUCCCGAGUAAGACA
Molecule: transfer RNA, 67 nt
Filed under: Trichonephila inaurata madagascariensis
Lineage: Eukaryota; Metazoa; Arthropoda; Arachnida; Araneae; Nephilidae
Description: tRNA-Thr
Source: RNAcentral